Molecule: long non-coding RNA, 1257 nt
Organism: Hemibagrus wyckioides
Lineage: Eukaryota; Metazoa; Chordata; Actinopteri; Siluriformes; Bagridae
Exons: 5
Source: RefSeq, a predicted model, not a curated record
CAUUAUGUUUCUGAAAGGUACCCUGACCAUUGUCUUUGCUGGAUUUUGGCUACUGUGCAUGCUUUGUCUGAAGACAGAUGCUUAUGUCCCACUGAGCCAUGGCUGCUGCAUCAAGUACAUUCGCAGACCACUGGAUUUCAAACUGAUCAAAGGUUUUGCACAGCCGAGUUUUGGUAACGUGCGCUGCGUUGAUGUGAUCAUAUUCAUUACAAAGCGCAACAAGAAGGUGUGUGCAAACACUAAGGAGGUGUGGGUGAAGAAUGUUCUAAAACGUCUAAGGGCACGCUUCCAGGCCAGACAAAGGCUAUAAAAGCUAGUUCAAGUGAGCAGAGAAGCAUCUAUAAAAGCACAGCAUGUCUAAUCUUGAUGUGGAUGAGCUACAAGACAGCAGGCAACACAGUGAAAUCUAUACUUCACAUAUCCCAUCUUUGGAAAUUGGGUCAGAGCACAGCAUCAGCCAUUAUACAGCACUCCUGGAGCAAUGAGAGUUAAGGGCCCUGCUCAGGGGCCCAACAGCUUAGGAGUGCUGUUGCUCUAACCCCAAUCUGCCAAUCAACAACCCAACAACCUUUAACCACCACUACCCCAAAGGAUUGUUUCAACAUGCAACAGGUUUGAUUUGUGCCCAGGAUCACAACAUAAAGGAAAAGAACCAACAUCAGAAUUGUAAUUUGAACCCAUGCCUCCAAAGGAGACUGCUACCUGAACACAGCACCUAAGACUGCUCGGCCAACCUGACACAUAAGUUUUUAAAAGGUCCAAAUAGUAAAGUGAGUAGUUUGCUCACAAAAAUAUUUGACAGAUCUAUUUAUUUUAUUUGUAUUCACAGCCACCCCUUCUACCAGACUCUUAACCUCAGUCACUGGCAGAAUGAAUGAGAACAUAUGAACUACCACUGCCAGACUCUGUAACAGCUUUUUCCCUAAGAUUGUUAUGCUUAGUAACUGAACUAAAAUAAAUGAAACAAUAUCUAAUCAGCUUGGCAGGUCCUCUGUUAAAGUGUAGGAUUCUAUAUAGUAGCACAGAACAAGCUAUGAAAACCCAAGUAUAUCAAAAUCCUACUGUUUUCUGUCUUACUAUUGAUAAAUAAAUCAAAUGUUGUAGUCAUUCUAGAUCCCAUUCAGAUAUUAGAUGUUGCUAAUCUUUGUAAGUCAAUUAACUGGUCAAUAAACAAGCAUGAGAUGGAAUUUCCACCUGUUUUGUUGUGUCCAUUUUCAGUAUUUUAAUUUCUUUGACAGGUUACACUCCACAGUGGGG